RNAcentral lists this long non-coding RNA (1168 nucleotides) under Homo sapiens (human). Its description in RNAcentral is "non-protein coding lnc-S100A13-2:11". The record is from RNAcentral. Lineage: Eukaryota; Metazoa; Chordata; Mammalia; Primates; Hominidae.
CUCACUACCGAAACUCACCGAAGGAAACAGACGCCAGUGCUCCUCCCGGGGCUGCCACCACGGCUCCGGCAGGCGGGCCGGGGACCGGCCGAACCUGAGUUGACGGUGGAGGGGCUCGGGUUAGCUAGAUGGGCGGUUGGUUAGAUGCGUAAGCGGUAGUAUGCGAGCUCAGUUCGUUGUUGCUGGUUGGCUGUCUAGUCGGCCGAUCCGUCUGCUCACCCGGCCUGCCCUUUCCUGCCUUUCGUCUGCAGCGGCCGCCAGCUCCUGCUCGGUGUCCAAAACAAAAUGGCCGCCACGUCCAGUGCUUGUCUGACCGGCUAAAAUGGCGUCUACGCAAUUACGUCAGGCGUCAGAUCCGCGCACGACUAGAGGGCGGGAAAGAUUUGAGCUACGCCUGCGCAGAGUUGAGAAGCUGAUGUCUCCUCGACUUCCAACUGGAACCUUGAACCCCCACAUUUCUGGACCUUGAGCAUUCCUCAAGUAGGAAGAUGUAAUGCACCUUGACCUCUUUCUAAAUAAGACACUUCCCCAAAUAAGGGGAGUUGAGAGUGAACAGUCUUCACGUCUCCACCCACUUCCAGAUCCCAGAGGAGACAGACAUCGGAUGGCUGAUAAUCUUCCAAUGGAAAUCCAUGGUUCAAGUGCCACCUCUUCAGGAAAGCCAUCUGACUUCAAUCAGGUCAGCCCUGACAAAGGUCAGCUAGCCCCUUGAGGACAUCAGCUUUGGCCUCAGGGUCCUAAUGGCAGCAGAACCACUGACAGAGCUAGAGGAGUCCAUUGAGACCGUGGUCACCACCUUCUUCACCUUUGCAAGGCAGGAGGGCCGGAAGGAUAGCCUCAGCGUCAACGAGUUCAAAGAGCUGGUUACCCAGCAGUUGCCCCAUCUGCUCAAGGGUGUGGGUGGCUGCAUGUGUCAAUGGUUGCAGGUUUUCUUUUGUUUUUUCGAGACAAAGUCUCACUCUGUUGCCCAGGCCGGAGUGCAGUGGUGUGAUCUUGGCUCACUGCAACCUCCAUCUCCGGGGUUCAAGUGAUUCUCCUGCCUCAGCCUCCUGAGUAGCUGGGAUUACAGGUGUGUGCCACCACGCCGAGCCUAUUUCUGUAUUUUUAGUAGAGACAGGGUUUCACCAGGUUGGCCAGGCUGGUCUCGAACUCCUGACCUCAGGUGAUC